RNAcentral lists this ribosomal RNA (581 nucleotides) under uncultured Pseudomonadota bacterium. RNAcentral describes it as "bacterial SSU rRNA". It matches the Rfam family "Bacterial small subunit ribosomal RNA", at positions 115 to 692 of the family's 1533-position model. The record is from RNAcentral. Lineage: Bacteria; Pseudomonadati; Pseudomonadota.
GUCUGGGAAACUGCCCGAUGGAGGGGGAUAACUACUGGAAACGGUAGCUAAUACCGCAUAACGUCGCAAGACCAAAGAGGGGGACCUUAGGGCCUCUUGCCAUCGGAUGUGCCCAGAUGGGAUUAGCUAGUAGGUGGGGUAAAGGCUCACCUAGGCGACGAUCCCUAGCUGGUCUGAGAGGAUGACCAGCCACACUGGAACUGAGACACGGUCCAGACUCCUACGGGAGGCAGCAGUGGGGAAUAUUGCACAAUGGGCGCAAGCCUGAUGCAGCCAUGCCGCGUGUAUGAAGAAGGCCUUCGGGUUGUAAAAUACUUUCAGCGGGGAGGAAGGGAGUAAAGUUAAUACCUUUGCUCAUUGACGUUACCCGCAGAAGAAGCACCGGCUAACUCCGUGCCAGCAGCCGCGGUAAUACGGAGGGUGCAAGCGUUAAUCGGAAUUACUGGGCGUAAAGCGCACGCAGGCGGUUUGUUAAGUCAGAUGUGAAAUCCCCGGGCUCAACCUGGGAACUGCAUCUGAUACUGGCAAGCUUGAGUCUCGUAGAGGGGGGUAGAAUUCCAGGUGUAGCGGUGAAAUGCGUA